This 66-nucleotide transfer RNA is filed under the name Protobothrops elegans. RNAcentral describes it as "tRNA-Ser (1)". It matches the Rfam family "tRNA". Rfam says of the family: Transfer RNA (tRNA) molecules are approximately 80 nucleotides in length. The record is from RNAcentral. Lineage: Eukaryota; Metazoa; Chordata; Lepidosauria; Squamata; Viperidae.
GGGAGGAAAGCAUAAGUGCGGUUAACUUGAAAUUAACAAGUGGUAGUUGAAAUCUGCCUCUUCUCG